Molecule: long non-coding RNA, 692 nt
Organism: Thunnus maccoyii (southern bluefin tuna)
Lineage: Eukaryota; Metazoa; Chordata; Actinopteri; Scombriformes; Scombridae
Exons: 3
Source: RefSeq, a predicted model, not a curated record
UAUGUUCAGUUUGUAACUGUUAAAACAUAUAUGAAAGGUGUGUGCAACAGUUCUUUCCCAUGGCUUGUUAGCUAACGUUAAGAUAAGUGAUGCUGCUAAUCGUGAUGCUAAUUAGUUAGCAUAACAUGGCCUUUGGAAAUGCAUUGAUUAUCCAAGCAAUUUAGCUAAUGUGCUACAGUGUAUACACACCUAGUGGGCUAGUGUUUGUGACCUUAUGCCUUUUUUGCAAACAUAUCGCUGAUUUUUGGCAAUUUCACCAUGUUUUUGCCACGAUUUACCUUAAUAAUUUUGUGUUUUGACACUGGCCUGACAGCUCAGGCCAAUCAGGAGAUGAAUCAGGUCGGCUAGUGGGAAUUGGCCCACCGGUCCUGAGGCUCAAUCCGGGCCUGCUGACUUACCUCCCCGUGUGACUGAACUGAAGUGUGUCUCAUCAGCUCUCUUGACAUUCAGCGACGCCAAGAAGAGAACCUGUGCACCCCCACCUCCUUCCCAUCACCACUAUGACCUUCAUCAAACCCAGGGAGACUCGUCCAAAGGUUUCCAUCAACCACCUGCUGCCUCCAAUCCACCACCACCAUCGUAUAGACUUCAUAUGGGCCUACACUUUCAUGAAGAUGCUUCACAUUGAUGGAGUCUAAUUGCCAAAAAUCUUUCUGUUGCUAACAUCAAUAAAUUUUGUGAUGCACUUCCAA